Molecule: non-coding RNA, 76 nt
Submitted as: unclassified sequences
Source: Rfam
UGCCCCUUGGCAAAAAUUAGUCGCUCUGGGUUGGCUUAGUAGGUUAAUUCUCGAAAGGUCGGCAGGCAAAUAUAAG